AGAGUUUGAUCCUGGCUCAGGAUGAACGCUGGCGGCGUGCUUAACACAUGCAAGUCGAGCGAAGCACUUUUUAGAACUCUUCGGAGGGAAGAGAGGGUGACUUAGCGGCGGACGGGUGAGUAACGCGUGGGCAACCUGCCUUACACAGGGGGAUAACAAUUAGAAAUGAUUGCUAAUACCGCAUAAGACCCCAGUACCGCAUGGUACAGAGGUAAAAACUGAGGUGGUGUAAGAUGGGCCCGCGUCUGAUUAGGUAGUUGGUGGGGUAGAAGCCUACCAAGCCGACGAUCAGUAGCCGACCUGAGAGGGCGACCGGCCACAUUGGGACUGAGACACGGCCCAAACUCCUACGGGAGGCAGCAGUGGGGAAUAUUGCACAAUGGGGGAAACCCUGAUGCAGCGACGCCGCGUGAGCGAGGAAGUAUUUCGGUAUGUAAAGCUCUAUCAGCAGGGAAGAAAAUGACGGUACCUGACUAAGAAGCCCCGGCUAACUACGUG
RNAcentral lists this ribosomal RNA (498 nucleotides) under uncultured Lachnospiraceae bacterium. RNAcentral describes it as "bacterial SSU rRNA". It matches the Rfam family "Bacterial small subunit ribosomal RNA", at positions 8 to 507 of the family's 1533-position model. The record is from RNAcentral. Lineage: Bacteria; Bacillati; Bacillota; Clostridia; Lachnospirales; Lachnospiraceae.